UGCUUGGAAUUGUGGAAGAGGAAAGAAACGAGAGGCCUCAAAUUAAUCACUACCCCUUUACAAUUCACUCUCUCUACUCUCUAGCCCUUGGUUUGUGCUCUUCAUCUCUUGAGUUUGUUUUUUGUUUUGUUUUCUUCUAUUUUGUGACCCCUACAUAUACAUAUAACCCCCCCUUCUUACCUUAUCCUAUCCCUUACUUUCUUCUUCUUCUUCUUCUUCUUCUUCUUCUUUCUUCUCUCUCUUUCUUUAUAAUUCUUUUUUCUUCUUCUUCUUCUUUAUACAACAAACCUUCUUCUUCCAAAUUUUUUGUCCCAAUUCCCUCAUUUGGAAUUAUAACCAAUUUGCAUUCCCUUAUUACUCCUAAUUAUGGCUCCCAAAGCUGGAAAAACUAAGCCCCAUAAGCCUAAAGGAGACAAGAAAAAGAAAGAGGAGAAAGUUUUGCCCACUGUUGUUGAACUAACCGUUGAAACUCCAGAAGACUCUCAAGUGACCCUUAAGGGAAUAUCGACGGACAGGAUCUUGGAUGUGAGAAAGCUGUUGGGAGUGCACGUGGAGACGUGUCAUUUGACGAAUUUCUCCCUAUCGCAUGAGGUUCGAGGAUCGAGCCUAAAAGAUUCGGUGGACAUCAUCUCUCUAAAACCCUGCCACCUAACAAUCCUCCAAGAGGACUACACCGAAGAACUCGCCGUCGCACACAUCCGGCGACUGCUUGAUAUCGUCGCUUGCACCACCUCCUUUGGCGGUUCCUCCAAUUCCCCCAAGUCACCGCCUAGAACCACUCCUAAAGACCUUACCUCCAAAGAAUCUUGUUUAACUGAUUAUGAGGCUGCCCUACCCAGUCCUGAAACCGGAGACAAGAAGGUGGCCACUGGUCCUGGCGAUGGAGCUCAGAAUCUCAGACAUGGACCUAAGGGUCUCAGAUGCCUGGACGGAUCGAACGAUGGUUCGGAAAAAGCUGAUGGCUCUAUUUCAAUGUGCCUGCCGCCGCGGCUUGGCCAGUUUUAUGAGUUCUUCUCCUUCUCUUACCUGACACCACCACUCCAAUACAUUCGGAGAUCAAGUCGACCGUUCCUUGUGGAUAAGACUGAAGAUGAUUUCUUUCAGAUUGAUGUUCGAGUUUGCAAUGGAAAACCAACAACAAUUGUUGCUUCGAGAAAAGGGUUUUACCCGGCUGGGAAGCAUCUUCUUCUUAAUCAUUCCUUGGUGGGACUGUUGCAGCAGAUAAGUAGAGCAUUUGAUGCUGCAUAUAGGGCGCUAAUGAAAGCUUUCACAGAUCACAACAAAUUUGGAAACCUACCUUAUGGUUUUCGGGCAAAUACUUGGGUGGUUCCACCUGUUGUUGCUGAAAACCCAUCUGCUUUCCCCCAACUUCCUGUAGAAGAUGAGAAUUGGGGAGGAAAUGGAGGAGGGCAAGGAAGAGAUGGAAAGCAUAAUCUCAGGCAAUGGGCAAAAGAGUUUGCAAUUCUGGUUGCAAUGCCUUGCAAAACUGCGGAGGAGAGGCAAAUCCGUGAUAGAAAAGCAUUUCUGCUUCACAGUUUAUUUGUCGACGUGUCAGUCUUUAAGGCUAUUGAAGUAAUCAAUCGGCUUAUCGAGAUUAAUCGAUUUCCUGUGAAUGAUCCAAAUGGUUUGGGGUCUCAUGAGGAAGUUGUUGGAGAUUUAAUCAUCAAGGUAACAAGAGAUGUACAAGAUGCGAGCAUAAAAUUGGACCGUAAAAAUGAUGGAAGUUUGGUUCUUGGAGUCUCAAGAGAGGAUCUUUCUCGUAGAAAUUUACUUAAAGGCAUUACUGCUGAUGAGAGUGCCACUGUCCAUGAUACUUCCACAUUGGGGGUUGUGGUCAUUAGACAUUGUGGCUAUACAGCUAUUGUGAAAGUUACAACAGAGGUGAAUUGGGGGGGAAUUCCUCAGGACAUUGACAUUGAAGAUCAACCGGAAGGAGGAGAAAAUGCUCUAAAUGUUAAUAGCUUGAGAAUGUUGCUACACAAGUCAAACACGCCUCAAGCAUCAAAUACUUCCACCCGAUUGCAGACCACAAAUGUUGAUCAUUUACAAUAUUCAAGGACGGUAGUUAGAAAAGUAAUGGAAGAAAGUUUGUUAAGGUUGGAGGAAGAACCUGUCAAAAACUCUAGGUCCAUUAGGUGGGAGCUAGGUGCAUGUUGGGUUCAACAUUUGCAAAAUCAAGCUUCAGGAAAAACUGAGCCUAAGAAAACAGAAGAAACCAAGUUAGAGCCAGUUGUAAAGGGUCUUGGAAAACAAGGUGGACUUUUAAAGGAGAUUAAGAAAAAAACAGACCUUGGAACUAGUAAAGUAGAACCUGGGAAGGAAGUUGAUCCCACUAACCAAAAGGAAAUGGAGAAACAAGAUGAUGAUAAGGAACAGAUGUGGAAAAUGUUGCUUCCUGAAUCUGCUUAUUUGCGAUUGAAAGAAUCAGAAACCGGUCUUCACAAAAAGUCACCAGAGGAGUUGAUUGAUAUGGCUCAUAAUUAUUAUGCUGAUACUGCCCUUCCGAAACUGGUUUCAGACUUUGGAUCCCUUGAACUCUCACCUGUUGAUGGAAGGACGUUGACAGAUUUCAUGCACACCCGGGGGUUGCAAAUGUGUUCAUUGGGCCGUGUGGUUGAACUUGCAGAUAAGCUUCCACAUGUGCAAUCUUUAUGUAUACACGAAAUGAUUGUUCGGGCUUAUAAACACAUAUUGCAAGCAGUUAUAGCUGCAGUCAAUUUUUCUGACUUGGCCACAUCAAUAGCAUCGUGUCUAAAUGUGUUGUUGGGUACACCUUCAGUUGAAGAUGAAACCGAUUGGAAGGAUGAUUGUGAUUUGAAAUGGAAGUGGGUGAAAACAUUCCUUCUAAAGAGAUUUGGAUGGCAAUGGAAAUAUGACAGCAGCUCUCAAGAUCUCAGAAAAUAUGCUAUCCUUCGAGGAUUAUGUCACAAGGUUGGGUUAGAGCUUGUUCCCAGAGAUUAUAAUAUGGAAAGUGCUUCACCUUUCAAAAAGUCAGAUAUUAUUAGUAUGGUCCCUGUGUACAAGCACGUUGCAUGUUCGUCCGCAGAUGGGCGUACACUGUUGGAAUCUUCCAAAACUUCCUUGGAUAAAGGGAAAUUGGAGGAUGCUGUUAAUUAUGGUACAAAGGCACUCGCGAAACUUGUCUCUGUUUGUGGUCCGUAUCAUCGAAUGACUGCUGGAGCAUAUAGUCUUCUGGCAGUAGUGCUUUAUCAUACAGGGGAUUUUAAUCAGGCAACCAUAUAUCAGCAAAAGGCUUUGGAUAUUAAUGAGAGAGAACUUGGACUUGACCACCCUGAUACAAUGAAAAGUUACGGAGAUCUAGCUGUUUUCUAUUAUCGACUUCAACACACAGAACUGGCAUUGAAGUAUGUGAACCGAGCUUUGUACCUUUUGCAUUUGACGUGUGGACCUUCUCAUCCAAACACGGCAGCUACUUACAUCAACGUAGCAAUGAUGGAAGAAGGUUUAGGAAAUGUGCAUGUUGCUUUAAGAUACCUGCAUGAGGCUUUAAAGUGCAACCAAAGACUUCUAGGGGCUGAUCACAUACAGACUGCUGCAAGCUACCACGCGAUAGCGAUUGCUCUAUCUUUAAUGGAAGCAUACUCGCUAAGUGUUCAGCAUGAGCAAACCACAUUGCAAAUACUACAGGCCAAACUUGGAUCUGAGGAUUUGCGUACUCAGGACGCAGCAGCAUGGCUUGAGUACUUCGAAUCGAAGGCCUUGGAGCAGCAGGAAGCUGCACGAAAUGGCACCCCUAAGCCGGAUGCUUCCAUCUCCAGUAAAGGUCAUUUAAGUGUGUCAGACCUCUUGGAUUAUAUAGCCCCAGAUGCAGAUUUAAAAGCCAGAGAUGCUCAGAGGAAGGCUCGUGCCAAGAUCAAAGGAAAAUCGGGUCAGUACACAGAAACAGGUGCUGAAGAAUUUCAUAAGGAUGAAGAUUUGUCGCCAAAUUACUCUGCCAUCGAGAGUCCAAGUGAUAAAGAAAACAAAUCUCAAGAAGCCCUGUUGGAGGAACAAGUAAUUGAAAAAUCUGAUACGGUUCUAUUUGAUGUUACAAAGCUUAAUAAAAAUAUUGACCAAGUGCAAGACGAGGCCUCAGAUGGUGGCUGGCAAGAGGCAGUUCCUAAAGGCCGUUCUGUAUUAGGUCGCAAGUCAUCAGGUUCAAAGAGGCCAAGCUUGGCAAAAUUAAAUACUAAUUUCAUAAACACAUCUCAAUCAUCAAGAUACAGGGGAAAGCCUAAUAGCUUUGUAUCACCUAGAACCAACUCAAGUGAAUCUACAGCUUCAGUUGGCUCAUCCGUUCCCAUUCCACAUAAAUUGACUAAGAGUGGAAGCUUCAGUUCUAAGCCUACUAGUAACCCUUUCAGUCCAGGCAGUACUGAAAAACCAUCUGACCCCUCCAAAUCAGCUCCAUGUUCUCCUGCCAUAACCGAUCAAGUAGCAAAAUCUUCAUCUAUAUCUGCUUCAGGAAGUGUUCAGGUAGCUGGAAAACUUUUAUCAUACAAAGAAGUUGCGUUGGCUCCACCUGGAACUAUUGUAAAGGCAGCAACAGAGCAGCUGGCAAAAGGCCCUACUCUUGUUGAAGUGAGUUCACAGGAAAUCCAGGAGAAAGUUACCACUGAACUCACUGUUGGUGAGGUAGCCACUAUAAAAGAUGAAGAGGAUGUGAAAGCUGAAAGAAUUGGUGUAGAAAAAAAAAGCGAAGGCCUUGUCAAUGAGAUUAUAGAAACAGACAAACAGGAAUCCAUAUCUCACCAACUCCAGGAGGAGGAUGUGACUUCUUCUGUGGAAAAUAGAACGGUGGGAGAUGAUGAAUUACAGGUGAUCAACAAGCCUAGUGAUGAAAUAGAAGUUGAAAGCUCCAAGGCUUCAAUACAAAUAGAAGCAGGUAUUUCUGUUUCCCCAGAAAGUGAUUGUACUUCAGGUGAAGAAAAUUCAUCUGUUUCAAAAGAGAAGGCAAAUGAAAAUGAUUUACCAGUUGAUAGUGUUGAUGUUAAGCCAACACCAACUGAAGUAGAAAAGCAAGAUGAAGUAGAAGGUGGGAAGGAGACUACUAAGAAACUUUCUGCUACUGCACCUCCGUUUAAUCCAUCUACAAUUCCUGUCUUUGGAUCGGUUUCAGGUCCAGGAUUUAAAGAUCAUGGAGGCAUUUUACCUCCACCUAUUAAUAUUCCUCCAAUGCUUACCGUUAAUCCAGUUCGCAGAUCACCACAUCAGUCAGCAACAGCCAGGGUCCCCUAUGGUCCACGAUUAUCUGGAGGCUACAAUAGAUCUGGUAAUCGGAUCCCCCGUAAUAAGCAAAUUUCGCAAAAUAGUGAUCACAGUGCAGAUGGGACUCUCUUCAAUGCUUCUAGAAUUAUGAAUCCCCUUGCAGCUGAGUUUGUACCUGGUCACCCUUGGGUUCCAAAUGGCUAUCCAGUAUCUCCAAAUGCGUAUUUGGCUUCCCCAAAUGGUUACCCAUUUCCCCCCAAUGGUAUUCUGCUGUCUCCAACUGGUUAUCCAGCACCGGUUAACGGUAUUCCUGUGACUCAAAAUGGAAGUCCUGUAGAUGCAUCACCACCAGGUUUAGAUGACGAUUCUGAAACAAAAACUGAGACUGAAGAUGAAACAAACAAUGACUUAACUAAUUCUUCAACUGAUAUUGAAUGUGAAAAUCAAAAAGAAAUGGAUCCAAAGCCAGAUGUUAAAUCUGUAGAAACCGAUCACUCGCAUUCUAAUGUUCAAGAAAAGCUCCAUGACUCUGCUCCAGUGGCUGCCACUGAUUCUGUUGCAACAAAAGAAGUUUCCCAAGACACAGUUGAGGAGAAAAAAUCCAAAAAGCGCUGGGGAGAUUCUAGUGACAAUGAAGAGGUUUCUAAUUGAAGGAGAAUCACCAGUUUUGUAUUUAUCUCGGAUAAUUUUUUUUCACAAAUCUUCCCGACGUUUCUUUUGCUGUAGUACAAGCAGCUGCAAUCGAGGCUAUGUGAAUACACGUGCAGUUUAGUUUCUUAAUCUGUAAAUUCUUCUCCUCAACUCCGGCCAUAAUUUCAACCAAAACUGGAAACGUUGCUUGGAUGAUUUAUACUCUUCACAGAUCAUUCCUAAACCAAUAACUCCAUGGAAGACUGCCUGAUGUGAUGAAUACUCAUGUUCUGUGGGCAACUUCCAUCGGACUGAUCCAUCAAGAUCGUCUCAAGAAAUCUGGUUUUAUGACCUUUUCUAUUUACGAGCAACAUGAGAUGCUUGAAUGCGUUUAGAGUUUAGUGUUAAAGUAUUCUUUUUUAAAGACUUGCAAUUUUUAAACCUUCAAUUUCUUCGACUUCGUGAACACGAGUUUGUAAAAUAAGCUAAUUUGAGUCUUACUGGAAAGCAAUUGGAAGAUAUGAACUGAUUACUUUUAA
This is an RNA transcript of Cucumis sativus (cucumber), 6377 nucleotides long. RefSeq lists it as hypothetical. The record is from RefSeq and is a predicted model, not a curated record. NCBI's taxonomy places the organism in Eukaryota, Viridiplantae, Streptophyta, Magnoliopsida, Cucurbitales, Cucurbitaceae. The transcript has 24 exons.